RNAcentral lists this ribosomal RNA (329 nucleotides) under uncultured eukaryote. RNAcentral's name for it is "partial 18S ribosomal RNA". It matches the Rfam family "Eukaryotic small subunit ribosomal RNA", at positions 1470 to 1796 of the family's 1831-position model. The record is from RNAcentral.
CCCUUAGAUGUUCUGGGCUGCACGCGCGCUACACUGAUGCGCUCAACGAGUUUAUGACCUUGCCCGGAAGGGUUGGGUAAUCUUUUUAAAACGCAUCGUGAUGGGGAUAGAUUAUUGCAAUUAUUAAUCUUCAACGAGGAAUUCCUAGUAAGCGCAAGUCAUCAGCUUGCGUUGAUUACGUCCCUGCCCUUUGUACACACCGCCCGUCGCUCCUACCGAUUGAAUGGUCCGGUGAAGCGUUCGGACCGUGGCCUUUGGACGGUUCGCCGUCUGUUGGCUGCGGGAAGUUCGUUAAACCUUAUCAUUUAGAGGAAGGAGAAGUCGUAACA